This 961-nucleotide ribosomal RNA is filed under the name uncultured bacterium. RNAcentral describes it as "bacterial SSU rRNA". It matches the Rfam family "Bacterial small subunit ribosomal RNA", at positions 28 to 987 of the family's 1533-position model. The record is from RNAcentral.
AUUGAACGCUGGCGGCAUGCCUUACACAUGCAAGUCGAACGGCAGCGCGGGGCAACCUGGCGGCGAGUGGCGAACGGGUGAGUAAUAUAUCGGAACGUACCCUGGAGUGGGGGAUAACGUAGCGAAAGUUACNNUAAUACCGCAUACGAUCUAAGGAUGAAAGUGGGGGAUCGCAAGACCUCAUGCUCCUGGAGCGGCCGAUAUCUGAUUAGCUAGUUGGUAGGGUAAAAGCCUACCAAGGCAUCGAUCAGUAGCUGGUCUGAGAGGACGACCAGCCACACUGGAACUGAGACACGGUCCAGACUCCUACGGGAGGCAGCAGUGGGGAAUUUUGGACAAUGGGCGCAAGCCUGAUCCAGCAAUGCCGCGUGAGUGAAGAAGGCCUUCGGGUUGUAAAGCUCUUUUGUCAGGGAAGAAACGGGUUUUUCUAAUACAGAGAUCUAAUGACGGUACCUGAAGAAUAAGCACCGGCUAACUACGUGCCAGCAGCCGCGGUAAUACGUAGGGUGCAAGCGUUAAUCGGAAUUACUGGGCGUAAAGCGUGCGCAGGCGGUUUUGUAAGACUGUCGUGAAAUCCCCGGGCUCAACCUGGGAAUGGCGAUGGUGACUGCAAGGCUAGAGUUUGGCAGAGGGGGGUAGAAUUCCACGUGUAGCAGUGAAAUGCGUAGAUAUGUGGAGGAACACCGAUGGCGAAGGCAGCCCCCUGGGUCAAAACUGACGCUCAUGCACGAAAGCGUGGGGAGCAAACAGGAUUAGAUACCCUGGUAGUCCACGCCCUAAACGAUGUCUACUAGUUGUCGGGUUUUAAUUAACUUGGUAACGCAGCUAACGCGUGAAGUAGACCGCCUGGGGAGUACGGUCGCAAGAUUAAAACUCAAAGGAAUUGACGGGGACCCGCACAAGCGGUGGAUGAUGUGGAUUAAUUCGAUGCAACGCGAAAAACCUUACCUACCCUUGACAU